Molecule: ribosomal RNA, 422 nt
Filed under: uncultured bacterium
Lineage: Bacteria
Description: bacterial SSU rRNA
Rfam family: Bacterial small subunit ribosomal RNA
Source: RNAcentral
CGGGAAUUUUGGGCAAUGGGCGAAAGCCUGACCCAGCAACGCCGCGUGAAGGAUGAAAUCCCUCGGGAUGUAAACUUCGCAAGAACGGGAAGAAUAAACCGGUGUUAACACCACCGGCGAUGACGGUACUGUUUGUAAGCUCCGGCUAACUACGUGCCAGCAGCCGCGGUAAUACGUAGGGGGCGAGCGUUGUCCGGAGUUACUGGGCGUAAAGGGCACGCAGGCGGUUGUGUCAGUUUGCGGGGACAGUGGGUGGCUUAACUACCCAAGGGUCGCAAAGACGGCACGACUGGAGAGCGAGAGAGGGACCUGGAACUCCGGGUGGAGCGGUGAAAUGCGUAGAGAUCCGGAAGAACACCACUGGCGCAGGCAAGGUCCUGGCUCGUAUCUGACGCUGAGGUGCGAAAGCUAGGGGAGCGAAC